CGCGGCCUAUCAGCUUGUUGGUGGGGUAGUGGCUUACCAAGGCUUUGACGGGUAGCCGGCCUGAGAGGGUGACCGGCCACAUUGGGACUGAGAUACGGCCCAGACUCCUACGGGAGGCAGCAGUGGGGAAUAUUGCACAAUGGGCGGAAGCCUGAUGCAGCAACGCCGCGUGCGGGAUGACGGCCUUCGGGUUGUAAACCGCUUUCGCCUGUGACGAAGCGCGAGUGACGGUAAUGGGUAAAGAAGCACCGGCUAACUACGUGCCAGCAGCCGCGGUGAUACGUAGGGUGCGAGCGUUGUCCGGAUUUAUUGGGCGUAAAGGGCUCGUAGGUGGUUGAUCGCGUCGGAAGUGUAAUCUUGGGGCUUAACCCUGAGCGUGCUUUCGAUACGGGUUGACUUGAGGAAGGUAGGGGAGAAUGGAAUUCCUGGUGGAGCGGUGGAAUGCGCAGAUAUCAGGAGGAACACCAGUGGCGAAGGCGGUUCUCUGGGCCUUUCCUGACGCUGAGGAGCGAAAGCGUGGGGAGCGAACAGGCUUAGAUACCCUGGUAGUCCACGCUGUAAACGGUGGGUACUAGGUGUGGGGUCCAUUCCACGGGUUCCGUGCCGUAGCUAACGCUUUAAGUACCCCGCCUGGGGAGUACGG
This 643-nucleotide ribosomal RNA is filed under the name uncultured bacterium. Its description in RNAcentral is "bacterial SSU rRNA". It matches the Rfam family "Bacterial small subunit ribosomal RNA", at positions 232 to 885 of the family's 1533-position model. The record is from RNAcentral.